AUACGGAGGGUGCAAGCGUUAAUCGGAAUUACUGGGCGUAAAGCGCACGCAGGCGGUCUGUCAAGUCGGAUGUGAAAUCCCCGGGCUCAACCUGGGAACUGCAUCCGAAACUGGCAGGCUUGAGUCUCGUAGAGGGGGGUAGAAUUCCAGGUGUAGCGGUGAAAUGCGUAGAGAUCUGGAGGAAUACCGGUGGCGAAGGCGGCCCCCUGGACGAAGACUGACGCUCAGGUGCGAAAGCGUGGGGAGCAAACAGGAUUAGAUACCCUGGUAGUCCACGCCGUAAACGAUGUCGACUUGGAGGUUGUUCCCUUGAGGAGUGGCUUCCGGAGCUAACGCGUUAAGUCGACCGCCUGGGGAGUACGGCCGCAAGGUUAAA
Molecule: ribosomal RNA, 376 nt
Filed under: uncultured Klebsiella sp.
Lineage: Bacteria; Pseudomonadati; Pseudomonadota; Gammaproteobacteria; Enterobacterales; Enterobacteriaceae
Description: bacterial SSU rRNA
Rfam family: Bacterial small subunit ribosomal RNA
Source: RNAcentral